Molecule: long non-coding RNA, 491 nt
Organism: Lontra canadensis (Northern American river otter)
Lineage: Eukaryota; Metazoa; Chordata; Mammalia; Carnivora; Mustelidae
Exons: 3
Source: RefSeq, a predicted model, not a curated record
UCCAUUAGACAGAAUUGGACAACAAUGUGGCGUCUGCCAUUGGCCAGGGGAGGCAGACGGCGCUCUGAUUGGCCGGGCCCGCGCCCGGGGAGCCCCGCAUUCUACAGUGUCCGAAAGAUUCGAAACUCCAAAAGCUCCACUGAGUGCCUCCGGGAGGGGAGGGGCACGCCAGGGAAGGAGUGGAGAAAAGUAGGCUAGAAGGAGCGUUGAAAAUAUCGUGACAAGUAGUUUCCGUGCGCCCGAGAGCGUGUGAAUUGCGCCUAAUUACCGUGUCCGAUCCUCUUGCUCGAAAGACGCGCAUUCGUCUGUAGGUCCUUCCGGGCCUGAAACAAUGUCACCACGGACUCCCAAGAGUAGUUUUAACUUUCACCUUCUCCCCUACUGACGUCACGGCCUUGAGGAACAGUUCGAUCUGCAGAGGAGGAAAUGCCACUCGCUGGAGCCUGAGAAUGAGUUUGGGAGAGAGCAAGGGGUCAGUUCUGCCGGCUUCC